Molecule: long non-coding RNA, 723 nt
Organism: Felis catus (domestic cat)
Lineage: Eukaryota; Metazoa; Chordata; Mammalia; Carnivora; Felidae
Exons: 3
Source: RefSeq, a predicted model, not a curated record
GUGCCCAGCCUCAGCUGGUGGUCAUAAACCUCACAUGGGGAGCUUUUACAAACCACAAGGCCAGGACCCAGCCUUGGACCCACAUCAUCAGGAUCUGGAGGUUGUGGUCUCUCAGAACUGCUGAGGUCUCCAGGUGAUUCGAGUGGGCCUCUACGGGUGGAAAACAGCCCUGUUUCAAUCAAAGAGCCAGCUACAUCUCUGUGAGGGCUGGGCUCCUUUGAUUAGGGCAGUGAGGAAAUACCUGGUUUAGGGGCAGGGAAGCUGCAUGAGGGUGCUGCGUGCAGAGGGAGAGACAAGACUGGGGAGUGGGAGAGCUUUCGAGAAAAGGAGCCGCCGUCACAGAUCAGGAAACUUCCCUGAGAAACAUCCAGUGUCCAAAGUCACCAGUGGCCUCAAUCAUGAUCUGUUGAGUAGUGUAAAGACUGAAAACCUCAGCUGUCCCAAGUUGGGUGUAUUUCCAGCCCAGCUCUGACUCUGCAGUGCGGUGAGGGAGAGACUGAAGACCCCAGACCCGCGAUCCCCACCCUCCUGGCUCUUGCCAUCACCAUCCACACUGAGACGCCGCUCAGCGUCCUUGGUUCUCGCGGAUAUGACAGCCUAAGGGAUGCUUCUGCAGUAACUAAAGAUGAGAAAUCACUGGGGAAAGUAAAAAAGAAGACAGUGUCAACAUGAGCACAAAGAAGUGAGAGAUUUGCAAAUAAACUUCACAUUAUUAAAAUGUCA